CGCAUAUUGCGCCCGCCAGUAUUCUGGCGGGCAUGCCUGUUCGAGCGUCAUUUCAACCCUCAAGCUUUGCUUGGUGUUGGGGACCAGCCCGUCAAGGGCUGCCCCCGAAACUCAUUGGCGGUCUCGCUGUCGGCUUCCAUCGCGCAGUAGCACAAUCUCGCCCUGGAAAAGCAGCGCGGCCCUGCCGUAAAACACCCCAAUUUUUAUCAAGGUUGACCUCGAAUCAGGUAGGAAUACCCGCUGAACUUAA
RNAcentral lists this unclassified non-coding RNA (250 nucleotides) under Claviceps paspali (paspalum staggers ergot). Its description in RNAcentral is "partial contains 5.8S ribosomal RNA, internal transcribed spacer 2, and large subunit ribosomal RNA". Lineage: Eukaryota; Fungi; Ascomycota; Sordariomycetes; Hypocreales; Clavicipitaceae. The record is from RNAcentral.